CCUACGGGGGGCUGCAGUGGGGAAUAUUGGACAAUGGGGGCAACCCUGAUCCAGCCAUGCCGCGUGUGUGAAGAAGGCCCUCGGGUUGUAAAGCACUUUCAGUGAGGAAGAACGCCUGGUGGUUAAUACCCAUCAGGAAAGACAUCACUCACAGAAGAAGCACCGGCUAACUCCGUGCCAGCAGCCGCGGUAAUACGGAGGGUGCGAGCGUUAAUCGGAAUUACUGGGCGUAAAGCGCGCGUAGGUGGCUUGAUAAGCCGGUUGUGAAAGCCCCGGGCUCAACCUGGGAACGGCAUCCGGAACUGUCCAGCUAGAGUGCAGGAGAGGAAGGUAGAAUUCCCGGUGUAGCGGUGAAAUGCGUAGAGAUCGGGAGGAAUACCAGUGGCGAAGGCGGCCUUCUGGACUGACACUGACACUGAGGUGCGAAAGCGUGGGUAGCAAACAGGAUUAGAUACCCUUGUAGUC
This 465-nucleotide ribosomal RNA is filed under the name Vreelandella stevensii. Its description in RNAcentral is "partial 16S ribosomal RNA". It matches the Rfam family "Bacterial small subunit ribosomal RNA", at positions 338 to 795 of the family's 1533-position model. Lineage: Bacteria; Pseudomonadati; Pseudomonadota; Gammaproteobacteria; Oceanospirillales; Halomonadaceae. The record is from RNAcentral.